Non-coding RNA from Misgurnus anguillicaudatus (oriental weatherfish), 1701 nucleotides. Lineage: Eukaryota; Metazoa; Chordata; Actinopteri; Cypriniformes; Cobitidae. The record is from RefSeq and is a predicted model, not a curated record.
CUUCGUGUUCUUUAGGGCAGUUAUUUUGCACCAGUGACAGAAACAGUGACCAAAUAAUUCAUUACCUUAUCUACAUGUGAAGGAAGAUUUUUGGCCUGCACUUUCACAGCUGAUAUUAUAAAAAUCAGCUUAUGACAUUAACAUGUUUCAAGCGUUUUAAUUUACUUUUAUUUGUGAAGUUUAUCUAUCACAUGUGGAGACAUACGCACAUACGAAACGGCAAAAAGACGCUAAAAUCUGGGUUAAGAGCAAAAAACUACCUGCGCCAAUCAGUUUUUGCCAUUUAUGGGCUUUACCCUAUAAAAGAAAACCGUUUUAUGCAUUUAAAUGACCUUACACGUUAUCAGUUUAUUAAGCGUUUAGACUAUGUAGACACAAUGUGCACUAAGAUAAAAAAAUUGGUUAACACGACCACUCGUGGUGGCUUUACUCAGAGGUUGGAGAAGACAACCGGUGGACUAAACAUCAAGCCUCUGCACGAUUCAGGUAAGUGGAAUAAAAUACAUUGUAAAUAAACAUUAUUAAAACAGAUUGUAAAGUCAUUCAUUCAAAACUUGCUAUGACCUAAGCCUAAAUGACUUAAUUUCUUUUUAGAAUUAAGACAACCUUAGCAGGAGAGCCCCAGCAGUAACUUUCUCUCAAGCAGAUGAACAAUAAGUUGCUUUGUAUGAACACCACCCUAACAAUCAAGUUUUCUACAGUAGUCUGUUAACAGUAGACCAAAGGUAUGAUGAUCAAUUUUAAAUGCAAUAUGGUUGAAAGGUCAGUAAACAAACAACAAAAAGCUUGACAAAAAUGUAGCUUGAAGGAGAAGGGACAGCUGAGAAACAAAGUCCUGGUACGCAGACGACAAUACUAUAACACUGACAAGAGUAUAAUGAUGAUGGAGACGGAGACACAAGCCAGAGAAAGGGUGGACCAAACACCAGGCCAGAAUUCUGCAUGAGUCAGAUCCAGUGGGUGCAGAUCAUCAUACAGAUGGUUCAAGUGUGGAUCCACCUAAUAUUCAAGGUUUUCUGUCCUGGGACACUCGGCUAACCAUCAAGAAAGAACACACUCCAGUGGGCAUCCUUUAUCCAUCCAGACCCUCAUACAGAUGGUUGGAGUUUUGAUUCUCCUAAAGUACCAUGCAAGAGCACUCAUUUUCCCUCUUGAGACCAUGGUGUGACCUGCAAGGUCGAAUGGAGACUGUAAACGAGACAAUCUUGGAGUCACCUGCAUUCACUGGUCCAGUUAGUCCAAUUACAGAUGGAGAUUAUAGAAGAGGAUGAUGUCUUUUCUCCAACAUCUUUCUAGACUGAUAAAAGAUCUAGACAGGCUUGAACAAAAGUUAACAGAGGGGCUUAUAUAGAGAAUGGUGAGCAGCUACACAUAAAAGAAGAACAUGGAGAAUCUGCCCAGAGGUGUUAACCAGCAAUGCAGCUAUACAACUAAAUUGAUGCAGGCGGAAACAAUGUGUAAUGCAGCUGCUGCAGAAGAAGAAUCCGUCCGUCUACCACUGAAGGAGACGCGGAAAUUCCUUCCAAGAUGUUCUUUGCCCGAGGAAGCAUUUGAUUAAUUUAAAGAUAUUGUGUUUCUUUGUAUGUUAUAGAAAAACGUUGCUUUUUUGCAUACACUCGUGUAAAUAUGCAUGUUAUGAAUGUUUUUCUUUUGUCUAAUUUAAAUAAAUUUUACGCAAUCAACUGCCUGUUUUAUUGAAAA